ACGGGUGAGUAAUGUCUGGGAAACUGCCUGAUGGAGGGGGAUAACUACUGGAAACGGUAGCUAAUACCGCAUAACGUCGCAAGACCAAAGAGGGGGACCUUCGGGCCUCUUGCCAUCAGAUGUGCCCAGAUGGGAUUAGCUAGUAGGUGGGGUAACGGCUCACCUAGGCGACGAUCCCUAGCUGGUCUGAGAGGAUGACCAGCCACACUGGAACUGAGACACGGUCCAGACUCCUACGGGAGGCAGCAGUGGGGAAUAUUGCACAAUGGGCGCAAGCCUGAUGCAGCCAUGCCGCGUGUAUGAAGAAGGCCUUCGGGUUGUAAAGUACUUUCAGCGGGGAGGAAGGUGCUGAGGUUAAUAACCUCAGCAAUUGACGUUACCCGCAGAAGAAGCACCGGCUAACUCCGUGCCAGCAGCCGCGGUAAUACGGAGGGUGCAAGCGUUAAUCGGAAUUACUGGGCGUAAAGCGCACGCAGGCGGUCUGUCAAGUCGGAUGUGAAAUCCCCGGGCUCAACCUGGGAACUGCAUUCGAAACUGGCAGGCUAGAGUCUUGUAGAGGGGGGUAGAAUUCCAGGUGU
Molecule: ribosomal RNA, 578 nt
Filed under: uncultured Enterobacter sp.
Lineage: Bacteria; Pseudomonadati; Pseudomonadota; Gammaproteobacteria; Enterobacterales; Enterobacteriaceae
Description: bacterial SSU rRNA
Rfam family: Bacterial small subunit ribosomal RNA
Source: RNAcentral